GCUCAGAUACAACCCCUGUCCCAGAGGAAAGGAGAGAGGAGGGGAGGCUUAAGACCCAGAUGAAGAGAUAAACCCCUCCUCUCCCACACAACUAUACAUCACCCGCUUCUCCGAGUCGGAGGAAGAGAGGAUAGAGGGAUAGAGUGAGAGAAAGACAGAGAGAAAGACAGGAGGGACACGACAUUGCCAUGGUAACCAGAGUGGGCUGAAAGAGUGUGGAGACCAGGCGAGGUUUGGAACGCUACGUGUUAAAGGAUCCCCACGACUGCCUACUCACUCCGUGGAGCUACAAGAGUUUUCACAAUAAUAUGGGUCAUAUUUAAACAUUGAUGGGACAAGAGUAGAA
Long non-coding RNA from Clupea harengus (Atlantic herring), 346 nucleotides. Lineage: Eukaryota; Metazoa; Chordata; Actinopteri; Clupeiformes; Clupeidae. The record is from Ensembl.